This 507-nucleotide ribosomal RNA is filed under the name uncultured bacterium. RNAcentral describes it as "bacterial SSU rRNA". It matches the Rfam family "Bacterial small subunit ribosomal RNA", at positions 20 to 507 of the family's 1533-position model. The record is from RNAcentral.
UGGCUCAGAGUGAACGCUGGCGGCAGGCCUAACACAUGCAAGUCGAGCGGCAGCGCGUCCGACCACCCUCGGGUGGUCGGAUGGCGGCGAGCGGCGGACGGGUGAGGAAUGCAUCGGAAUCUGCCUCGUUGUGGGGGAUAACGUAGGGAAACUUACGCUAAUACCGCAUACGACCUACGGGUGAAAGUGGGGGGACCUUCGGGCCUCACGCGAUGAGAUGAGCCGAUGCCGGAUUAGCUAGUUGGCGGGGUAAAGGCCCACCAAGGCGACGAUCCGUAGCUGGUCUGAGAGGAUGAUCAGCCACACUGGAACUGAGACACGGUCCAGACUCCUACGGGAGGCAGCAGUGGGGAAUAUUGGACAAUGGGGGCAACCCUGAUCCAGCCAUGCCGCGUGUGUGAAGAAGGCCUUCGGGUUGUAAAGCACUUUUGUUGGGGAAGAAACCGGCCGGGUUAAUACCCUGGUUGAAUGACGGUACCCAAAGAAUAAGCACCGGCUAACUUCGUG